This 460-nucleotide ribosomal RNA is filed under the name uncultured bacterium. RNAcentral describes it as "partial 16S ribosomal RNA". It matches the Rfam family "Bacterial small subunit ribosomal RNA", at positions 338 to 795 of the family's 1533-position model. The record is from RNAcentral.
CCUACGGGAGGCAGCAGUGAGGAAUAUUGGUCAAUGGACGAGAGUCUGAACCAGCCAAGUAGCGUGAAGGAUGACUGCCCUAUGGGUUGUAAACUUCUUUUAUAAAGGAAUAAAACGAGGCACGUGUGCCUUUUUGCAUGUACUUUAUGAAUAAGGAUCGGCUAACUCCGUGCCAGCAGCCGCGGUAAUACGGAGGUUCCGAGCGUUAUACGGAUUUAUUGGGGUUAAAGGGAGCGUAGAUGGGUUGUUAAGUCAGCUGUGAAAGUUUGCGGCUCAACCGUAAGAUUGCAAUUGAUACUGGCAGUCUGGAGUACAGUUGAGGUAAGCGGAAUUCGGGGUGUAGCGGUGAAAUGCUUAGAUAUCCCGAAGAACCCCGAUGGCGAAGGCAGCUUACUAAGCUGUGACUGACAUUGAUGCUCGAAAGUGUGGGUAUCAAACAGGAUUAGAUGCCCCAGUAGUC